UACGGAAGGCAGCAGGGGGAAUAUUGCACAAUGGGCGCAAGCCUGAUGCAGCCAUGCCGCGUGUAUGAAGAAGGCCUUCGGGUUGUAAAGUACUUUCAGUCGUGAGGAAGGUGUUAAGGUUAAUAACCUUAGCAAUUGACGUUAGCGACAGAAGAAGCACCGGCUAACUCCGUGCCAGCAGCCGCGGUAAUACGGAGGGUGCGAGCGUUAAUCGGAAUUACUGGGCGUAAAGGGCACGCAGGCGGUUAAUUAAGUUGGAUGUGAAAUCCCCGGGCUUAACCUGGGAAUGGCAUUCAAGACUGGUUAGCUAGAGUCUUGUAGAGGGGGUAGAAUUCCAUGUGUAGCGGUGAAAUGCGUAGAGAUGUGGAGGAAUACCGGUGGCGAAGGCGGCCCCUGACAAAGGCUGACGCUCAUGUGCGAAAGCGUGGGGAGCAAAC
Molecule: ribosomal RNA, 437 nt
Filed under: uncultured bacterium
Lineage: Bacteria
Description: bacterial SSU rRNA
Rfam family: Bacterial small subunit ribosomal RNA
Source: RNAcentral